AAAAAAGUAAUGACAGGGAAUUAGUAAAUAGAAAUCAGGUAAAAGAGAGUAGGAUUCACGGGCUGAAAAAUCUUACAUCCUGCAAAGCUAUUGAACCUAUCCCUAGAGCUGUCAGGCAAACCUGAUCGUUUUCCUUCGUUAAGGGAGUAUGAAAGCGGGCACGUGGAUUCUAUGUGCCAAUGAAGGUGGUACCGCGAAAGACUAAGUUCUUCCGUCCUUUUU
This 222-nucleotide non-coding RNA is filed under the name Mesobacillus subterraneus. Its description in RNAcentral is "Bacillus subterraneus T-box sequence". It matches the Rfam family "T-box leader". Rfam says of the family: Uncharged tRNA acts as the effector for transcription antitermination of genes in the T-box leader family. T-boxes are found upstream of many aminoacyl-tRNA synthetase genes and some amino acid biosynthetic genes usually in Gram-positive bacteria. The record is from RNAcentral. Lineage: Bacteria; Bacillati; Bacillota; Bacilli; Caryophanales; Bacillaceae.